RNAcentral lists this transfer RNA (73 nucleotides) under Sphaerodactylus townsendi. Its description in RNAcentral is "tRNA-Val". It matches the Rfam family "tRNA". From Rfam's summary of the family: Transfer RNA (tRNA) molecules are approximately 80 nucleotides in length. Lineage: Eukaryota; Metazoa; Chordata; Lepidosauria; Squamata; Sphaerodactylidae. The record is from RNAcentral.
AGAGAUUGUAGCUCAGUGUAAGAGCCUCUGCAUGACGUGCAGAAAGUCCCAGGUUCAAUUCCCAGCAUCUCCA